This 292-nucleotide ribosomal RNA is filed under the name uncultured Sediminibacterium sp. RNAcentral describes it as "partial 16S ribosomal RNA". It matches the Rfam family "Bacterial small subunit ribosomal RNA", at positions 505 to 796 of the family's 1533-position model. The record is from RNAcentral. Lineage: Bacteria; Pseudomonadati; Bacteroidota; Chitinophagia; Chitinophagales; Chitinophagaceae.
GUGUCAGCAGCCGCGGUAAUACGGAGGGUGCAAGCGUUAUCCGGAUUCACUGGGUUUAAAGGGUGCGUAGGCGGGUAUUUAAGUCAGUGGUGAAAUCCUAGAGCUUAACCCUAGAACUGCCAUUGAUACUAUUUAUCUUGAAUAUUGUGGAGGUAAGCGGAAUAUGUCAUGUAGCGGUGAAAUGCUUAGAUAUGACAUAGAACACCUAUUGCGAAGGCAGCUUACUACGCAUAUAUUGACGCUGAGGCACGAAAGCGUGGGGAGCAAACAGGAUUAGAAACCCCAGUAGUCC